CCAAUAAGAAGAGAAACAGUUUAGGAAGAUAUUAUUUUAAAACGGAAGCAUUUUUGUGGAACAGUUCUUUUUUUACAGUUUAAACUAAAACCUAAACAGAUCAUUACUAUUAUGUAUCAGUCCACAGUUCUUUAUACAUGAACCCUGUCAGUCGAACAGCAGGUUUACAACAGGGCUUCCCUGAACAAACCCCCCCUGGUCUAACAGCAGGUUUACAACAGGGCUUCCCUGAACAAACCCCAACUGGUCUAACAGCAGGUUUACAACAGGGCUUCCCUGAACAAACCCCCCCUGGUCUAACAGCAGGUUUACAACAGGGCUUCACUGAACAAACCCCCCCCACACU
Non-coding RNA from Oncorhynchus mykiss (rainbow trout), 346 nucleotides. Lineage: Eukaryota; Metazoa; Chordata; Actinopteri; Salmoniformes; Salmonidae. The record is from RefSeq and is a predicted model, not a curated record.